This 380-nucleotide ribosomal RNA is filed under the name uncultured eukaryote. Its description in RNAcentral is "partial 18S ribosomal RNA". It matches the Rfam family "Eukaryotic small subunit ribosomal RNA", at positions 592 to 976 of the family's 1831-position model. The record is from RNAcentral.
CAAUAGCGUAUAUUAAAGUUGUUGCGGUUAAAAAGCUCGUAGUUGGAGUUCUGCCAGGUGCCGCCUGUCCGCCCCAGUGGUGAGUACGUGGCGCGCAUUUGGCCCUUUCAAGGGGAGCGUAUCUGCACUUUAUUGUGUGGCGCGGGAUCCUUGACUUUUACUUUGAGGAAAUAGGAGUGUUCCAAGCAGGCUCUCGUCGUGCACAGCUCAGCAUGGAAUAAUAGCAUUGGACCUCGAUUCUAAGCUGUUGGUUGCCAGAAGCGAGGUAAUGAUGAAGAGGGAUAGUUGGGGGCAUUCGUAUUUAACUGUCAGAGGUGAAAUUCUUGGAUUUGUUAAAGGCGGACUACUGCGAAAGCAUCUGCCAUGGAUGUUUUCAUUGA